Diospyros lotus (date-plum) is the source of this 828-nucleotide RNA transcript. It is a transcript of the gene named disease resistance protein RGA5-like, with no coding region annotated. The record is from RefSeq and is a predicted model, not a curated record. The transcript is spliced from 4 exons. Lineage: Eukaryota; Viridiplantae; Streptophyta; Magnoliopsida; Ericales; Ebenaceae.
CGGUCUCUCUCUCUCUCUCUCUCUCUCUCUCUAUAUAUAUAUAUAUAUAUAGGUGUAUUAUCUGCAUCUGGCAGAUUAAGGGUUUCAGAUCCAAACAUUUCUGAGCAAACCAAGACGAUGAAGCAAAAGGUGGUCGUCAGAUUCGGCACGAAGAGCAGCAAGUCUCGCUCCAAAGCCCUCACCAUUGCCGUCGGCGUUCAAGGGGUGACAUCGGCGACGCUGAAGGGGCAGAACAAGGACGAGAUGGAGGUGGUGGGAGAAGGGAUGGACUCGGUGGUGCUGACGACCCUGCUGAGGAAGGGCGUCGGCUCCGCAGAACUGGUGAGCGUCGCACCGGCUGAGGAGAAGAAGAAGGAGGAGACGCCGGUAGUAGUCAGCUCGCCUUAUUACUACACCUAUGGCCCGCCUUAUAAUUACUACACAAAUUGGGUCCUGCCAUGAGCAUUUCCUUCUUGCUGUGGCCACUCCAUCAUGAUCAGCAAAAGAAAAGAAAAUGGUUGUAUUUUAAAGAAGUAGAAGGUGAUAUGCUAAAUUCGAUGCAAGAUAAGUAAAACAGAAGAGAGAAUUAAAGCCACAAUAAAGAAGAGAAGAGAGAGAAUUAUCAAGAGAAUCAAAAUAAACUUUGUUAUAAUAGGAUUAAGAAUAUAAAUUUUAAUAUUAUUCUGAUUCAAAUCUUAUAAUAUUUAUAAUUAUCUAACUAUAAUAGAAACAAAUCAAAAUAAUAAGACGACAGAAUAAAUCCUAAUCUUUUGACUAGUUACAUGGAGGCUACGUACGACCAGAACAAAGAAGAAAACAAGAACACUUUGUGGGUGACAAUAUUGAAUU